Molecule: long non-coding RNA, 611 nt
Filed under: Bos taurus (domestic cattle)
Lineage: Eukaryota; Metazoa; Chordata; Mammalia; Artiodactyla; Bovidae
Description: long non-coding RNA NONBTAT022948
Source: RNAcentral
GAACAUGUGAGAGGAAUCACUACAGAGGAACACUCACGUAAGGAAUGUGGAAAACCCUGUAGCACAAGCGUUUUUGUUAACAGAAGAUGAAAUUUCAAGUACCAAGUACGAUGGGAAAGCCUUCAGGGUUCUUUCAGUUUUUAAGAGACAUGAGGAUCGAUUCUGGAGAGAACAAACCAUUGAAUGGCAUCAGUAUUGGAAAGCCAGUUUCCCACAUUCCUUAAACUUGUGAGUAUAAAGAAGGAGGGAAUGCCUUUAAUGAUAGCUCUUACUUUAGGAAAAGUAUGAAAUUCCUGGAUGCAAAAACCUGUGAGUGGAUUAAUUUUGGAAAGUCUUUCGAUGACUUCUGUCUUUGUUGAAUUGUGUGAAGUCACCCAGGAGGGGCUUCGGGAAGGGAGCCCAAGAAGGUAUUCAGCAUGAGAUUGCCUUAGCUCUUCUCUGAGUGGCCAUGGAAUACUUUAAAAUGGGAAUGGAAAAGGGUAAAUGUUAAAAGUGUGGGAUUACCUUUCAGUGUCUCAUCCUUAGGGUGGGGCAACUAGUUCUUUAAUUUUCAGUCUUUUUGAUUAAGUAACAACAUUUGUGUCUGCAGCUGUGCCCUAAAAUAAACCUUA